UAGAGUCUGAUGUUCUAAUUAUACAUGCUAGUAGUCUGAUGAUCAAACCAAUAGCUAUUAGUCUGAUGUGCUAAUAGCAUUUCAUAAUAGCAUUUAUGAUUAGAACAUAAUUGUGGUACUUUUCCAAGCUUUAGGCUCAGGUUUAACAUAAAUCCCAUGAUGCCACACAGUACAUCUGAACCUGGACUUUCCACAGCUUGUUCUUACCUGAAGUGUUGAAAGGGACAAGAUGGAGGUUGGGGAGGGAAGCUGUGGAAUAUGAAGUAGAAAUCUAUAAUAUAGAAAUCUUUUAAGAUUUCUAUGUUAUAGUUGAAAAUUUGAAGUGCAAUUCAAGGAAAACCUAGAUUAAGUAAUAUUUUGAAUCAGAUUUCUUAAACAACUGAGCUAAAUCUGUCGUUUUGCCCUGCUAACAGAAAAAUGUAUCAAGACCGAUGGGUUUAAAUAAAGAAACAUGCAACACGGGGCAAGCAGAGGAGGUAGUCUAAGAUCUUUUAUUGGGAAUAUAGCUUCAUGUGACACAAACAGCAGUAAAACAAGCCUGAUUUAGACAAAUGCUGACUAUGAUCAGUGAAAAAGGUUUCACACACCACAUUA
Long non-coding RNA from Poecilia latipinna (sailfin molly), 594 nucleotides. RefSeq lists it as uncharacterized. The transcript has 4 exons. The record is from RefSeq and is a predicted model, not a curated record. Lineage: Eukaryota; Metazoa; Chordata; Actinopteri; Cyprinodontiformes; Poeciliidae.